Molecule: long non-coding RNA, 548 nt
Organism: Rosa chinensis
Lineage: Eukaryota; Viridiplantae; Streptophyta; Magnoliopsida; Rosales; Rosaceae
Exons: 4
Source: RefSeq, a predicted model, not a curated record
CGAAAUAUCAGAUAUGAAGCAUAGACUUCAAUGUUUUCCUCGGGAUUUACAAUCUUUUAUUUCUUGCAGAGGUGAACAAUAAUGGGGUUGCUCUUGGCCUGGACCUAGGACAUUGGCCAGAAGGGCUGGAAAAACUGAUGCUGUAUAUAAAGCAAAAUUAUCAAAACCCAAAAAUCUACAUUACUGAAAAUGGAACUCCUGAGCUAAGGAAUGAUCGACAACGUUCCACUAGCUGAACGAACAAACGACCCAUAUCGAAUCUCCUAUGUUCUUCACCAUUUAUAUCAUCUCAAUAAGGCAAUUAAGAGUGAAGUAAACAUCAAAGGGCAGGGUACUUUGUUUGGACUCUGUUUGACAGCUUUGAAUGGGGUAUGGGGCUGACGAAGAGACUUGGGCUUUACUACAUUGAUUUCAAUGACAAUUUCAACCGGAUCCCCAAUCUUUCUGUUAAGUGGUUCCAAGCUUUCCUUAAAAGCAAUCAGACCCGAUCGAGUUAAUUAGGGGUUACAUUGAGUGUACAUACCAACUUGUUGGCACAUAAGUGCAUA